This 217-nucleotide ribosomal RNA is filed under the name Campeiostachys nutans. RNAcentral describes it as "Elymus nutans partial small subunit ribosomal RNA". The stretch from base 47 to 217 matches the Rfam family "Eukaryotic small subunit ribosomal RNA", at positions 692 to 864 of the family's 1831-position model. Lineage: Eukaryota; Viridiplantae; Streptophyta; Magnoliopsida; Poales; Poaceae. The record is from RNAcentral.
GGGUUUACUUAUUGGUCAGGCUUAAUUGUCUGUACUGGUGAGAUGGAUCUCUACCUUCUGACGAACCAUGAUGUCAUUAAUUUGGUGUCUUGGGGAAUCAGGACUUUUACUUUGAAAAAAUUAGAGUGUUUAAAGCAGGCUCACGCUUGAAUACAUUAGCAUGGAAUAACGAAAUAGGACGUUUGAUUUUAUUUUGUUGGUUUCUAGGAUCGACGUA